This is a long non-coding RNA of Sinocyclocheilus grahami, 632 nucleotides long. RefSeq lists it as uncharacterized. The transcript is spliced from 3 exons. The record is from RefSeq and is a predicted model, not a curated record. Lineage: Eukaryota; Metazoa; Chordata; Actinopteri; Cypriniformes; Cyprinidae.
AAUAAAGAUCUAAAGGACAAUCUGAGCUUCCUUUUAGUCCAGACAGACGGAGACGGAAACACCUUAAACUGGAAGACAGUACAAUGCGAGUAUGUACACAUCGGCGAUCACGGACAUUGUGCAUGUGGCUGUUAAUUGUGUUCCUGAGUCUGCACUUGCUCGUGGUUUCACUUGUCCUGUCCAUAUUCCACACUUCCUGUGAGCUCCACUCAUACCCUGGCAUUCAGACCUCCAUCAUCUUUUCCAUUCAAAAUACAUCUACUCCAACAAGCAAAAUGGCCACUGCAGGAAGUGUCACCCAGGAAGUGGAAACAGACGGCACAGCAGAUGACCUUGCCAAACUGGAGGCUCUGUACUCUCACCCGCUGUAUAAUUUGCCCACCCCACCUGUGUCCGAUGGUGAUUGGCUGCUGAAAGUCCGAACAAAAAUAAAAGAGGAAGAGCUUCGUAUACACAGCAGUGGCUGAGUGCUAACGAGGACAGAUAUGAUCCUAUCCUCUGGAAUGCCAGUGCUGAGACACAUCCACCUUGGCUUCAGUUUCACCUUGGUAAAUCUCGCUGGCAGAUGUAUCAGCAGAAAGACCCCAAUCUGUCAGCGCUGACUCAGCAAAUGAUAUCCCAUCGCAUCUUCA